GCGCAGGUGGCGAAAUUGGCAGACGCACUACCUUGAGGUGGUAGCGCCUUCACCGGCAUGGAGGUUCAAGUCCUCUCCUGCGCA
RNAcentral lists this transfer RNA (84 nucleotides) under bacterium. RNAcentral's name for it is "tRNA-Leu". It matches the Rfam family "tRNA". Rfam says of the family: Transfer RNA (tRNA) molecules are approximately 80 nucleotides in length. Their secondary structure includes four short double-helical elements and three loops (D, anti-codon, and T loops). Further hydrogen bonds mediate the characteristic L-shaped molecular structure. tRNAs have two regions of fundamental functional importance: the anti-codon, which is responsible for specific mRNA codon recognition, and the 3' end, to which the tRNAs corresponding amino acid is attached (by aminoacyl-tRNA synthetases). tRNAs cope with the degeneracy of the genetic code in two manners: having more than one tRNA (with a specific anti-codon) for a particular amino acid; and 'wobble' base-pairing, i.e. permitting non-standard base-pairing at the 3rd anti-codon position. The record is from RNAcentral.